CAGCCGUAAACUAUGCGCGUUAGGUGUACUGGUGACCACGAGUCACCGGGGUGCCGAAGGGAAACCGUGAAACGUGCCGCCUGGGAAGUACGGUCGCAAGGCUGAAACUUAAAGGAAUUGGCGGGGGAGCACCGCAACGGGAGGAGCGUGCGGUUUAAUUGGAUUCAACACCGUAAAACUCACCAGGGAAGACUGUUACAUGAAGGCCGAGAUGAAGACUCUGCUAGAUUUUCAGAGAGGAGGUGCAUGGCGUCAGUGACU
This 261-nucleotide ribosomal RNA is filed under the name uncultured archaeon. RNAcentral's name for it is "partial 16S ribosomal RNA". It matches the Rfam family "Archaeal small subunit ribosomal RNA", at positions 748 to 1008 of the family's 1478-position model. The record is from RNAcentral.